This 76-nucleotide transfer RNA is filed under the name Fukomys damarensis (Damara mole-rat). It matches the Rfam family "tRNA". Rfam says of the family: Transfer RNA (tRNA) molecules are approximately 80 nucleotides in length. Their secondary structure includes four short double-helical elements and three loops (D, anti-codon, and T loops). The record is from Rfam by way of RNAcentral. Lineage: Eukaryota; Metazoa; Chordata; Mammalia; Rodentia; Bathyergidae.
ACGGGUGUAGCUCAGUGGUAGAACAUGUGCUUAGUGUGCACAAAGCCCUGCCUGGGUUGGAUUCCCAGCAUCAAUU